Molecule: long non-coding RNA, 504 nt
Filed under: Salmo salar (Atlantic salmon)
Lineage: Eukaryota; Metazoa; Chordata; Actinopteri; Salmoniformes; Salmonidae
Description: lncRNA (ENSSSAG00000101235.1)
Source: RNAcentral
UUUUAUGCACUGUGGACAUGCUUUGGUAGUACCUAACCUGCUAACUACCAUCAGGUGCUAAUGGCCUGGUACUCAGGGCUAUAUUGCUACAAUCAGGCCUGGUACUCAGGGCUAUAUUGCUACAAUUGCUACAAUCAGGUCCUAAUGGCCUAGUACUCAGGACUAUAUUGCUACCAUCAGGUCCUAAUGGCCUGGUACUCAGGGCUAUAUUGCUACAAUGAGGUCCUAAUGACCUGGUACUCAGGGCUAUAUUGCUACAAUGAGGUCCUAAUGACCUUGUAUUCAGGGUUAUAUUGCUACCAUCAGGUCCUAAUGGCCUGGUACUCAGGGUUCUAUUGUCCCUCCAUCAGGUCCUAAUGGCCUGUUACUCAGGGUUCUAUUGUCCCUCCAUCAGGUCCUAAUGACCUGGUACUCAGGGUUCUAUUGUGUCUCCAUCAGGUCCUAAUGGCCUGGUACUCAGGGUUCUAUUGUCCCUCCAUCAGGUCCUAAUGGCCUGGUACUCAG